GAUGAACGCUGGCGGUAUGCUUAACACAUGCAAGUCGAACGGUGGCUUCGGACAUAGUGGCGGACGGGGGAGUAACGCGUGAGAAGCUAACGAUGUGUUCGGGACAACCACUGGAAACGGUGGCUAACACCGGAUAAGCUGUAAAGUGAAAGAUUAAUUUACAAUUGAAGAGCCCGCGUCUGAUUAGCGAGUUGGUGGGGUAAGAGCCUACCAAGGCGUCGAUCAGUAGCGGGGCUGAGAGGACGAGCAGCCACACCGGGACUGGGCCACGGCCCAGACUCCUACGGGAUGCAGCAGUGGGGAAUGUUCCGCAAUCGGCGAAAGGCUGACGGAGCAAUAACGGGUGAGGGAGGAAGUCACUUGAGUUGUAAUCCGCUAUUAUUUGGGAAGAUAAUGACGGUACCAGAGCAGUAAGCAUCGGCUAACUACGUG
Molecule: ribosomal RNA, 432 nt
Filed under: uncultured bacterium
Lineage: Bacteria
Description: partial 16S ribosomal RNA
Rfam family: Bacterial small subunit ribosomal RNA
Source: RNAcentral